This 778-nucleotide ribosomal RNA is filed under the name soil fungal sp. DM2-399. RNAcentral describes it as "eukaryotic LSU rRNA". It matches the Rfam family "Eukaryotic large subunit ribosomal RNA", at positions 142 to 938 of the family's 3401-position model. Lineage: Eukaryota; Fungi. The record is from RNAcentral.
AUUGUAAUUUGCAGAGGAUGCUUCGGGAGCGGCCCCCAUCUAAGUGCCCUGGAACGGGCCGUCAUAGAGGGUGAGAAUCCCGUCUGGGAUGGGGUGCCCGCGCCCGUGUGAAGCUCCUUCGACGAGUCGAGUUGUUUGGGAAUGCAGCUCUAAAUGGGUGGUAAAUUUCAUCUAAAGCUAAAUACUGGCCGGAGACCGAUAGCGCACAAGUAGAGUGAUCGAAAGAUGAAAAGCACUUUGAAAAGAGAGUUAAACAGCACGUGAAAUUGUUGAAAGGGAAGCGCUUGCGACCAGACUCGCUCGCGGGGUUCAGCCGGCCUUCGGGCCGGUGUACUUCCCCGCGGGCGGGCCAGCGUCGGUUUGGGCGGCCGGUCAAAGGCCCUCGGAAUGUAACGCCCCCCGGGGCGUCUUAUAGCCGAGGGUGCCAUGCGGCCAGCCCGGACCGAGGAACGCGCUUCGGCUCGGACGCUGGCAUAAUGGUCGUAAGCGACCCGUCUUGAAACACGGACCAAGGAGUCUAACAUCUACGCGAGUGUUCGGGUGUCAAACCCGUGCGCGCAGUGAAAGCGAACGGAGGUGGGAACCCCUCGGGGUGCACCAUCGACCGAUCCUGAUGUCUUCGGAUGGAUUUGAGUAAGAGCGUAGCUGUUGGGACCCGAAAGAUGGUGAACUAUGCCUGAAUAGGGCGAAGCCAGAGGAAACUCUGGUGGAGGCUCGCAGCGGUUCUGACGUGCAAAUCGAUCGUCAAAUUUGGGUAUAGGGGCGAAAGACUAAUCGA